UACGUAGGUGGCGAGCGUUGUCCGGAUUUACUGGGCGUAAAGGGAGCGUAGGCGGAUUUUUAAGUGAGAUGUGAAAUACUCGGGCUCAACUUGAGUGCUGCAUUUCAAACUGGAAGUCUAGAGUGCAGGAGAGGAGAAUGGAAUUCCUAGUGUAGCGGUGAAAUGCGUAGAUAUAUGGAGGAACACCGGUGGCGAAAGCGGCUCUCUGGCCUGUAACUGACACUGAGGCUCGAAAGCGUGGGGAGCAAACAGG
Molecule: ribosomal RNA, 253 nt
Filed under: uncultured bacterium
Lineage: Bacteria
Description: partial 16S ribosomal RNA
Rfam family: Bacterial small subunit ribosomal RNA
Source: RNAcentral